This 253-nucleotide ribosomal RNA is filed under the name uncultured bacterium. RNAcentral's name for it is "partial 16S ribosomal RNA". It matches the Rfam family "Bacterial small subunit ribosomal RNA", at positions 524 to 776 of the family's 1533-position model. The record is from RNAcentral.
UACGAAGGGGACUAGCGUUGUUCGGAAUUACUGGGCGUAAAGCGCGCGUAGGCGGAUCGCUAAGUCAGGGGUGAAAUCCCAGGGCUCAACCCUGGAACUGCCUUUGAUACUGACGAUCUGGAGAUCGGGAGAGGUUGGUGGAAUUCCGAGUGUAGAGGUGAAAUUCGUAGAUAUUCGCAAGAACACCAGUGGCGAAGGCGGCUCACUGGCCCGAUACUGACGCUGAGGCACGAAAGCGUGGGGAGCAAACAGG